CAUGGAGCUGGAUAUACAGGAGGCUCCCAUUGAAAACUCCAUGCGUGGAGUGAGGAUUGGCCCUGGGCCCUGGGCGCCUCUCAGACAAAGCUCCGAGUAGCUGAUGGCGGCUGACUUUGAGGAGCCCUGUAUGGCACAGAACUGGUCUGGCCUUAUGCCCAGUAUCAGCAGGAGCCUUCCCAAGCUGGAAGUGGAAGGAGGGCGCCGCGUGGACCUUUGGAGCAGCCAGCCUCCUGGCUUGUGUGCAAGCAUCUGCCCCUUGCUGGAUGAUCACAGACAAACCAGGGAAACUGCCUGCACCUCAGAGUCCUCACCUAUCAAACGGGGAUGUGAUAGUACCUAGGGUGCUAAGGAGCAGGAAUCAGCUCUUCUGCAGUUUUCCUGGUUUGGCAUCAGAAGUCAAACAUCGCAGGAAGCCUCUCAGUCUCAGGCAAACCAGCACAGUUGGUGUAGGGUCCCACUGGCCAUGCCCAAGGGCGAGGUUCUCCUUGAUGUUGUCAGGGCAAAAAUAUCCUGAAUUCACACUCCUCAGCCUCCCACGAAGAGCCAAUCUGACUGUGAUCCCUGUAUUUUCAGGAUGAAAAUAAAAAGAAGACUCACUCCGUAGAUGAAAUGAAGAAUGAAAUUGGUGCCUGGUAGGAAAGUGACGCUGGGAAUGAAACUGGGGGACUCAUCAACAGAGAGUCAAGCAAUAAACAUUCCCAACAUCCCUCCUCCCCAUAUGCCAGAAACUGAGCAAGAAGGCCUCGACACAGGAACAAAUAGGACAGCUUUAGAGGCUUCCAGUCUAGCAGGCAGAGAAACCAUUACACCAGCAGUUAGGCUGAGAGGUGAUCUAUACUUUGAUAAAGGGAGUCUGUGUGUCAUGGGCCUGAUGACAGAGGCACCAAAAUAGUCUAAGAGGGUUUAAGAUGCAACCUACUCUUGAUAAGCUGCGUGAUCUCCAACAAGUUUAGCCAUCCUGAACUCUUAGUUGUCAGACAGUAAUUGCUGAGCACCUGUACUCUAGUCAAUAAAGGGAAUGUACAUUCUAGCACAGAAUGCAGAUGUCACAUUAUUACAAAUGAUCAGGAUACAGGAUAGUCUAAGGGGGGAUUCUGGGAAAGCUUUCUCAAUGAUUGAAAUUUAAGCCAGGGCUACAGGGGUAAGCGGGAGUUAACUUGGUGAAGAAGGGUUAGAGGGCCCCUAGAUAGAAUGAACAGCAUGUGCAAAGGUCCUUAGGCAAGAAGCUUGUGUGUCCAAGGCACUGAAAGAAGGUCAGUGUGAAGGAAGGGCAGAGUGGAAGGGGGGUCGUAAGGGAGUUUAAGCAACAGGAGCCAGACCACCAAGAGACUUGGAGACAUAGCAAGAAUUGGACUUUAGGAAAUUGUGACUUUAGGAAAAUGUGAAACAGAUGCGGGAUUUUAAGGAGAAGAACAUGAUUGAAAGUAUCUUGAAACCUGUGACUGCUGUGGUGCAAAUAUCUUGGAGAAGACUGAAUUGCACAUAAUGGGGAGCAGAUUCAUUGUCCAGGGGAGAGAUGAUGGUACCUCAAGCAGAUGGGGUGGCCACAGAGAUGGAGGGAAGGCAAAUAUUUAGGAGACAGAAUGAGCAAACAAAGGUAGCUCCCACGUGGGAGGUUGAGUAGAACCUAUAGAGGAAGACUCUCAGAGUCACUGUAAGGGUUGCUGAUAUAGGGGACAUAGGGGGAAGACUUGUUUAAGAAAUAUCCUGAGUUCAGUUUUGAAUCUGGGCUGCCACAGAGGCAGAGGAUCCAUGAAUCUGGAACUUGGAGGGAAUCCAGCCUGGAGGUUCAUAUUCAGGACAAGGAGCCAUAGGUGGGGUAACUGCUAGCCACAAGAGGGCAGGAACAGAGGGGGGAGAUGACAAGGACAUACAACUGAGCCUUGAGCAACUCCAGUGUUCAGAGAUGGGCAGGGUGGAAUGCAGCAGUGAGCUUGCAGCCUGCAGAAAUCCAGAAAGGCUUAACAUCCCUGCAGCUGAAGAAAGAGAGGAGGUAGUCAGUACCACAUGCAGUGGGGAACAACACAGGUCAGGACUUGUGGACUGAGCAUCUUGGAGGUCACCUGUGACCU
Molecule: long non-coding RNA, 2075 nt
Organism: Talpa occidentalis (Iberian mole)
Lineage: Eukaryota; Metazoa; Chordata; Mammalia; Eulipotyphla; Talpidae
Exons: 5
Source: RefSeq, a predicted model, not a curated record